AUGUUGGAGAAUAAUUAUACCAUGCAGACUGAGUUCCUACUUGUUGGAUUCACAGAUUAUCUACCUCUCAUAUUCUUGGUAUUUCUCAUAGUCUAUACACUAACUGUGGUGGGAAAUGUAGGUUUAAUAAUUUUAGUUAAUAUCAAUUCAAGCCUUCAAACCCCCAUGUAUUAUUUUCUCAGCAACUUGUCUUUCUUAGACAUUAGCUACUCAACAGCAAUCCCUCCUAAAAUGCUGGCAAAUUUCUUAGCAUCCAAGCAAAGCAUUUCCCUCUAUGGUUGUGUGCUACUGAUAUUUUUCUUUGGUUGUUUUGCUGAUGCUGAAUGCCUUAUCCUGGCAGCAAUGACCUAUGACCGCUAUGCAGGCAUCUGCAAUCCACUGCUCUAUUCUGCUCUUGUGUCUGGGAGAGUCUGUGUCUGCUGCAUUGCGUUGGUGUACUUCAGGGGGAUGUGACUUCAAAGGUCCAUGUCUGCCUCACAUUCAGGCUGCCAUAUUGUGGCUCCAAUGUCAUCAACCAUUUUUUCUGUGAUAUCCCACCUCUCCUGGCUUUAUCCUGCACAGACACCUACCUCAAUGAGCUUCUGCUCUUUGCCUUGUGUAGCUUCAUCUAGACAGUGCUUUUGUGGUCAUCUUUAUCUCAUACAUCUGUAUCCUCCUCACUGUUUUGAGCAUCAAGUCCUCAGGUGCAAGAAGCAAAACCUUCUCUACCUGUGCCUCCCAUCUCAUAGCAAUCACCUUAUUCUAUGGAGCACUCCUGUUUAUGUACUUGCAUCCCAGUAUCAGCUACUCCCUAGACACUGACAAAGUAGUUGCAGUGUUUUAUACGGUUGUCUUUCCCAUGUUUAAUCCAGUAAUCUACAACUUCAGAAACAAAGAUGUAAAAAAUGCCCUCAGAAAGCUAUUGGACAGA
RNAcentral lists this long non-coding RNA (910 nucleotides) under Bos taurus (domestic cattle). Its description in RNAcentral is "long non-coding RNA NONBTAT007466". Lineage: Eukaryota; Metazoa; Chordata; Mammalia; Artiodactyla; Bovidae. The record is from RNAcentral.